GAGCGGAUGACGGGAGCUUGCUCCUUGAUUCAGCGGCGGACGGGUGAGUAAUGCCUAGGGAUCUGCCUGGUAGUGGGGGACAACGUUUCGAAAGGAACGCUAAUACCGCAUACGUCCUACGGGAGAAAGCAGGGGACCUUCGGGCCUUGCGCUAUCAGAUGAGCCUAGGUCGGAUUAGCUAGUUGGUGGGGUAAUGGCUCACCAAGGCGACGAUCCGUAACUGGUCUGAGAGGAUGAUCAGUCACACUGGAACUGAGACACGGUCCAGACUCCUACGGGAGGCAGCAGUGGGGAAUAUUGGACAAUGGGCGAAAGCCUGAUCCAGCCAUGCCGCGUGUGUGAAGAAGGUCUUCGGAUUGUAAAGCACUUUAAGUUGGGAGGAAGGGCAGUAAGCUAAUACCUUGCUGUUUUGACGUUACCGACAGAAUAAGCACCGGCUAACUCUGUG
Molecule: ribosomal RNA, 448 nt
Filed under: uncultured bacterium
Lineage: Bacteria
Description: bacterial SSU rRNA
Rfam family: Bacterial small subunit ribosomal RNA
Source: RNAcentral